RNAcentral lists this ribosomal RNA (466 nucleotides) under Antarcturus spinacoronatus. RNAcentral describes it as "partial 16S small subunit ribosomal RNA". Lineage: Eukaryota; Metazoa; Arthropoda; Malacostraca; Isopoda; Arcturidae. The record is from RNAcentral.
AAGUAGGACCUGCUCUGUGAAUUUUUUGACGGCUGCAGAAUUUUGACUGUGCUAAGGUAGCAUAAUGAUUUGCCUUUUAAUUGAAGGACGGGAUGAACGGUUUAACGAGGAAAAAUCUUUCUUAAUUUUUAUAUUAAAUUUUCUUAAAUAGUUAAAAAGCUAUUUUAAUUUAGGGGGACGAUAAGACCCUAUAAAACUUUACUUUUAAUUUUUUAAGCUAAAAUUAUGAGUAAUUUUAAUUUAAAUUAAGAGUUUCACUGGGGCGGUAAAUUUUGAAAUUAACUACAAUUUUUAUUUUAACAUUAAUAUAUGAUUUUUUUUAACCUAGUUAAAUAAUUUAGAUUAAGUUACUUUAGGGAUAACAGCACAAUAUUAUUUUAGAGUUCUUAUCGACAAAAAUGUUUAUGACCUCGAUGUUGAAUUGAAAGUUCUCUAGUGUGCAGCUUUUCUAGAAGUAAAGUCUGUU